UUACACAAAUAUGAAGGCGGGCUGGAACCUCUCGGGGUUACAGCCUUGCUGAAUUAUUCACCCUUGUCUUUUGCGUACUUCUUGUUUCCUUGGUGGGUUCGCCCACCACUAGGACAAACAUAAACCUUUUGUAAUUGCAAUCAGCGUCAGUAACAAAUUAAUAAUUACAACUUUCAACAACGGAUCUCUUGGUUCUGGCAUCGAUGAAGAACGCAGCGAAAUGCGAUAAGUAGUGUGAAUUGCAGAAUUCAGUGAAUCAUCGAAUCUUUGAACGCACAUUGCGCCCUUUGGUAUUCCAAAGGGCAUGCCUGUUCGAGCGUCAUUUGUACCCUCAAGCUUUGCUUGGUGUUGGGCGUCUUGUCUCUAGCUUUGCUGGAGACUCGCCUUAAAGUAAUUGGCAGCCGGCCUACUGGUUUCGGAGCGCAGCACAAGUCGCACUCUCUAUCAGCAAAGGUCUAGCAUCCAUUAAGCCUUUUUUUCAACUUUUGACCUCGGAUCAGGUAGGGAUACCCGCUGAACUUAAGCAUAUCAAUAAGCCGGAG
This 542-nucleotide ribosomal RNA is filed under the name Alternaria alternata. Its description in RNAcentral is "eukaryotic LSU rRNA". The stretch from base 169 to 322 matches the Rfam family "5.8S ribosomal RNA". Lineage: Eukaryota; Fungi; Ascomycota; Dothideomycetes; Pleosporales; Pleosporaceae. The record is from RNAcentral.